This 61-nucleotide microRNA precursor is filed under the name Acyrthosiphon pisum (pea aphid). RNAcentral's name for it is "microRNA api-mir-307 precursor". Its record names the gene api-mir-307. It matches the Rfam family "mir-67 microRNA precursor family", at positions 11 to 73 of the family's 84-position model. Lineage: Eukaryota; Metazoa; Arthropoda; Insecta; Hemiptera; Aphididae. The record is from miRBase by way of RNAcentral.
ACUCACUCAAUUUGGAUGUGAUGUUCAAAUUGGCGCCACCACAACCUCCUUGAGUGAGCGA